AACGAACGCUGGCGGCAUGCCUAACACAUGCAAGUCGAACGAGACCUCCCGGUCUUGUUGCGCUCGGGUGCGUAACGCCUGGGAACUUGCCCUUAGGUUCGGUAUAACUCAGAGAGAUUUGAGCUAAUACCGGUUGGUGUCUUCGCACCUAAGAUCUAUCGCCACUGGAUGGGCCCUCGUUGGAUUGGGCAGUUGGUGGGGUAAAGGCCUCCCAUGGCGUCGUUCCAUAGCUGGUCUGUGAACAUGACAUACCACGCUGGAACUGCGACACGGCCCAGCCUCGGACGGAGGGCAGCAGUGGGGAAUAUUGGAGGAGGAACGAAAGCCUAAUCAAGCAAGGCCGCGGAAGUGAUGAAGGCGUUAGUAUUGUAAAGCUGUUUUAGCCGAGGUGAUAAUGACAGUAUCGGGAGAAUAAGCACCGGCUAACUACGUG
RNAcentral lists this ribosomal RNA (433 nucleotides) under uncultured bacterium. Its description in RNAcentral is "partial 16S ribosomal RNA". It matches the Rfam family "Bacterial small subunit ribosomal RNA", at positions 29 to 507 of the family's 1533-position model. The record is from RNAcentral.